Daphnia pulicaria is the source of this 337-nucleotide long non-coding RNA. RefSeq lists it as uncharacterized. The transcript is spliced from 2 exons. The record is from RefSeq and is a predicted model, not a curated record. Lineage: Eukaryota; Metazoa; Arthropoda; Branchiopoda; Diplostraca; Daphniidae.
AUCGGGAUUUUAACCGUCGUCGGAGAGAUACUAACCAUUUUACUUUCUCCAAAAAGAGGCAUAAACGAUUUCUUACACGAUUACAUCGAGGCUGAGUAUGUCGGACAAUCACAUAACAUGACUUGCGAAGGUGAAUUCCGAGAAUGUCCUGUCUCUUUGUUCAAUCUCUUCCCUUCCGACGGUGAUUCCAACGAAAUAGUUGAUGAUGAGGACGACCAAGAUGAAAGUAGUGAACUAUCCGAUGUCCACGAAGAAUCUGCCGGGCCACAUUCGACGAGUAAGAGCCACGAAGUGUAUGUUCUUCCUAAUCUAGAACAUUUGGAUGACCAUAUCCUAG